Molecule: long non-coding RNA, 2512 nt
Organism: Betta splendens (Siamese fighting fish)
Lineage: Eukaryota; Metazoa; Chordata; Actinopteri; Anabantiformes; Osphronemidae
Exons: 3
Source: RefSeq, a predicted model, not a curated record
AAAUGUUAAAUAUAAAUGUAAAUGUUAAAUCUAAAUGUUAAAUGUUAAAUGUUAAAUGUUAAAUGUUAAAUGUUAAAUGUUAAAUAUAAAUGUUAAAUGUUAAAUGUUAAAUGUUAAAUGUUAAAUGUUAAAUGUAAAUGUUAAAUGUUAAAUCUAAAUGUUAAAUGUUAAAUCUAAAUGUUAAAUCGAAAUGUUAAAUGUUAAAUAUAAAUGUUAAAUGUUAACUGUUAAAUGUAAAUGUUAAAUGUUAGAUCUAAAUGUUAAAUCUAAAUGUAAAUGUUAAAUGUUAAAUCUAAAUGUUAAAUGUAAAUGUUAAAUGAUCGAACUGAAUAUUUAAGUAGACUCCACCCCCUAUUAUCCUAGAUCAGUGACGUGGACUCAAACACCUCAAACAGUACGCAUAGCUCCGCCCACAUCUGACUCUGGAUCGGUGCACGAAAAUACUGGAGAGAAGCCUGAAGUCGAAGCCAUCAUGGCCGCCAGCUCCGACUCCCUCCCGUUGGGGGAGAUUGAACGGGCUGUAACGGCAGGUGUGCGGGCUGAGGCUCCGCUUCAAACUGCCGUUCUGUCGUAAACACCAUUAAUGAGGUUUAAAAAGAAUAUUUCUGUGGCGCCGGUGGAGAAUUAGUUGGCUAACUAUACUAGCUAGCCGAAGUUACGUCCAGGCUAAAAACAAAAGUUUCCAGAUCAGAUGUGGGCGGGGUUUGCGCGCACAGUUUGAGGUGAUUGAGUUCGCGUCUCUGAUCUGAGACCAGCGCUGUUUGAGGCGUUCUCCCGUGAGUGGCUCGUGUUCCUGCCACAGACCCGGACCUCCGGACCCCCAGACCUCCAGACCCCCAGACCUCCGGACCCCCAGACCUCCGGACCCCCAGACCUCCGGACCUCCAGCGCUGCGCGUGGAGCGGUAGCCUCGUCCUGAGCCCGUGCUGAGGACGUGCUACACCACGCUGUCCUGCACGAAGGUGGUGCUGAGCGACGUCUUCCGGUCCGCGGCGCCGCUGCCCCCCCGCCCCCCGCUGCUCCGCCGCUCCGUGUUCUCCACGUGGGCCGCGUACGUGGUGCUGAACACGUUCCUCAGGUUGAGCUGCGCCCGGAAGGCCUUGCAGAAGAUGAAGUAGAUGAGCGGGUCGAAGCAGAUGUUGAGGACGGACAGCACGACCGUCAGCUCCUUCAGGUAGAAGCUCCAGGAGCACUGGUUCCUCAGGAAGGCGUAGGGCAGGCGCACCAGGUGGUAGGGCACGAAGCACACGCAGAACACGCUGACCAGAACCAGCAUGUUCCGCCGAGACUUGGCCAGUUUCUUGGAGCUGGUGGACGUGGGCUGCCUCCGCUGCACCAGAGACAACCUGCGAGACGUGUUGUAGUAGAAGACCACCAGGGAGACGAGCACCAAGAGGAAGAUGAGGGUGGAGAAGGUGUGGAUGACUUUAUAGAGCAGGCUGAUCUGCUCGCUGUGCAGGGCGUCGCAGGUCACAGAGGCAGGAACCGAGGUCAGCGGCUUCUGGGUGAGCAGCGACACAAUGACGUACGACGUGGUGAUGGUCAGGAGGACCACCCAGGUUACCGUGGAGAUAAUGUAAGCAGCCUGCACCCUCUGCAGCACGGAGGUCCCCAGAGGAUGGACGAUCUUCAGGCCUGAAGCAACGUGGAGCCUCCUCCGGGAGGAGGCUAGGCCUGAACCUGAUGACGUCAUCUCUAGGCUGGGAAGCUUUGCUGCCCCCUUGUGGCCACAACUGUGGUGGCAUGUAUUCACCCAGAUAUUAUGAGUCGUUGUAAUGGACGUUGGAAAACACAACUGGAGACUUGAUAUGCUAAGACAUGCGUCCACACAGCGCUGCGAAGCCAGAGCCGCUCAGGCCUCACUGGACCGGAACCAGAGCCAGCAGAGGCCAAAGCUUUCAAACUGAGUUCCCACUCACUUCAGGAAUUAGAGCUUCUGCACAUUCUCUGGGGUUUUGUUGAAAAAAAAAUGUACGUGUGAUGUGUCUGUUCUUUUAGUUGUGUAACAGUGAAUCUCAUAGCAAGGAUGUGGCUAAUAGGCUAAUAGGCCUCAGCUGGUGAUGCGUUCAAACCACACGUCUUUUCUUUGAACAACCCCUGGUGUUUUGGAAAGUGGUGACUCAAAGCCACAUUCACUGCAGCAGUCAGCUGCGACACACACACAGACACACACAGACACACACCAAGAAGACACCAAGAACACACCGAAUCAGACUAAUUCAAAGGUUCCACCAUCAAAUGUUCCCUGUGUUCGCACCUUGUCCAGGUUGUUGUACAGUGUAUGUACAGUUUGCAUUGUUUAUCUGUACGGAGCAAAAUCUGGGCCAUGUGUUUAUAUGUUUUGAAAGUGAAAUAAAACUAUUUGAAACUAAAAAAACUAAAAAAACUAAAAAUCUUAAGUACUUGAGUUGAAACUGGAAAAAGAAGUGAAUGCAAGGUUUUUCAAUUUUCAUAUAUAAUCUGGAUAUUUUUCCGUUUCACUUUUUAUGUUUUCAAGUUUCAAUUCUUUCAA